GAUGAACGCUGGCGGCGUGCCUAAUACAUGCAAGUCGAGCGAACGGACGAGAAGCUUGCUCCUCUGAUGUUAGCGGCGGACGGGUGAGUAACACGUGGAUAACCUACUUAUAAGACUGGGAUAACUUCGGGAAACCGGAGCUAAUACCGGAUAAUAUUUUGAACCGCAUGGUUCAAAAGUGAAAGACGGUCUUGCUGUCACUUAUAGAUGGAUUCGCGCUGCAUUAGCUAGUUGGUAAGGUAACGGCUUACCAAGGCAACGAUGCGUAGCCGACCUGAGAGGGUGAUCGGCCACACUGGAACUGAGACACGGUCCAGACUCCUACGGGAGGCAGCAGUAGGGAAUCUUCCGCAAUGGGCGAAAGCCUGACGGAGCAACGCCGCGUGAGUGAUGAAGGUCUUCGGAUCGUAAAACUCUGUUAUUAGGGAAGAACAUAUGUGUAAGUAACUGUGCACGUCUUGACGGUACCUAAUCAGAAAGCCACGGCUAACUACGUG
This 497-nucleotide ribosomal RNA is filed under the name uncultured bacterium. RNAcentral describes it as "partial 16S ribosomal RNA". It matches the Rfam family "Bacterial small subunit ribosomal RNA", at positions 28 to 507 of the family's 1533-position model. The record is from RNAcentral.